GCCCGCGUGAUGAAACCGGUAGACGUACAGGACUCAAAAUCCUGCGGUAGCGAUACCAUGUCGGUUCAAGUCCGACCGCGGGCACCA
Molecule: transfer RNA, 87 nt
Filed under: Bacillota bacterium
Lineage: Bacteria; Bacillati; Bacillota
Description: tRNA-Leu
Rfam family: tRNA
About the family: Transfer RNA (tRNA) molecules are approximately 80 nucleotides in length. Their secondary structure includes four short double-helical elements and three loops (D, anti-codon, and T loops).
Source: RNAcentral